CCUGAAGCAGAACCCUUUGCUGAAAACUGUCAGUAAGGAAGAGAUGGAGACAGCACUUGGUAAAUGGUUUACAAAUGCAAGCGACAGAGAAAACAACCGUGCUUUGAGAGCGCAGCGGGACCAUGAUUGCAGGGCAGUACAGCCGGAAGUUGUCAAUAAUGUCCAAAAGAGGGCAGUGUUCUCAUUAUGAACGCUCAAAGAGAGUACAUUUCUUUUCGCGCACGAGACCUCAAUCAUUUCCGGUCUGCAUGCAAGGGAAGCGGGAAAGUCUGUUUUCACCGUGAGAGAUAGAGACUUGUACCAGUCUCGAACAUCAUCUCCAGCAACAAGAAGGAGGACAGCCAUAUCUCCUUGCUGUUUGCAGGAACCGCUACCAGACUGAGCACGUCUACAGAGCUCUUGAGAAGAAUCUCAUCCCCAUACCACAGCUUCUGCUCGGAUCUCAGCAUGCUUCACAGACAUAUUUAAUGGAUUGCUCAUCAGUAAAAACUCAACCCCAGCAAAACAGAACUGCUGGUCAUCCCAGGUGAUUCAUCUCCAUCUCAGGAUCUCAGAAUCUUCAUGACUCUCUGCUCUUUUCUUCAGCCACUGCUCGCAACCUCGUGUCAACUAUGCAUAAUCGACUGUCCUGUUCCUCACAUGUUGCUAAUGUGGCACGUUCCUGUUGAUUUCUUCUCUACAACAUCUGAAGGUUUCGACCAUUUCUGUCCACACAGGCUGCUCAGGUGCUCGUUCAGUCUCUAGUGAUUAUAAAACUAUACUACUGCAGCUCUCUGCUGGCAGGUCUUCUUCUGAACAUGAUCGAAAAAAUACUGAUCAUCAAAACACAUUUCCAAGCGGGUGAGAAAGUGGACGAGGAGCUAAGUUUUGCUCUCUCUCGUGCUCUCUCUCGUGCUCUCUCUCGUGCUCUCUCUCUCUCUCUCUCUCUCUCUCUCUCUCUCUCUCUCUCUCUCUGGCUUAUGUUCAUUAUUUAUUUAUGCUUUUAUUUUAGCAUGUUAUGAGGUGUGGGACUUCAGUGUUUGUGUGUAUGUUCUUUCUACAGAAAAGUGAGCAAAAAAGUCACAUUUAAUUUAAGAGGGGUGUAACAUGGGAAAUAUACAAAACUAUUUCUAUUGUAUUUUAUUUUUUUAUUUUUAUAAGAUUUAAGAGUUUUUACACUUAAUAAAACACUGAACAACAUAAACCCUUUGAACCAUUUUGUGAACAUAAAUUUCUAAUCUGUUCAUGUAAUUUAUCACAUCAUUUAGCUGUUCUUUAUAAGCUACUGUCACGUCCUCUGGGUUUAUGUUCCAGCACUUUUAAUAAUGCGUUUCAUAGCACUUCACAAUACAAACCGUACAGUACACUAUUGGUGUUUAUGUACAGAUCCUCACGGUUAAAGUCUUUGUGUCUCCGUUGUUUCCUGGGAAAGUGUGUGGCUGCUGAAUUUUUCAAUUUCCUGUUUAUUGUUUCAUUGAGGAUUAAAAAUGUUAUGUUUGUAUAAACUUUGAAAUAAAAUUUAGGCAAGUUAUUAUUAAAGA
Long non-coding RNA from Silurus meridionalis, 1520 nucleotides. RefSeq lists it as uncharacterized. The record is from RefSeq and is a predicted model, not a curated record. NCBI's taxonomy places the organism in Eukaryota, Metazoa, Chordata, Actinopteri, Siluriformes, Siluridae. The transcript is spliced from 4 exons.